CCUACGCGAGGCUGCAGUGAGGAAUAUUGGUCAAUGGGCUUACGCCUGAACCAGCCAAGUCGCGUGAGGGAAGACUGCCCUAUGGGUUGUAAACCUCUUUUGUCAGGGAGCAACGCCGGCUACGUGUAGCCGGACUGAGAGUACCUGAAGAAAAAGCAUCGGCUAACUCCGUGCCAGCAGCCGCGGUAAUACGGAGGAUGCGAGCGUUAUCCGGAUUUAUUUGGCGUAAAGCGCUCGUAGGCGGUAUGUCAAGUCAAGGGUGAAAUCCCCGGGCUCAACCUGGGAACUGCCGUUGAAACUGGCAAACUGGAGUGUGUGAGAGGAGAGUGGAAUUCGAGGUGUAGGAGUGAAAUCCAUAGAUAUCUGGAAGAACAGCGGUGGCGAAGGCGACUAACUGGCACAUAACUGACGCUGAGGAGCGAAAGCGUGGGUAGCGAACAGGAUUAGAUACCCCUGUAGUC
RNAcentral lists this ribosomal RNA (461 nucleotides) under uncultured bacterium. RNAcentral's name for it is "partial 16S ribosomal RNA". It matches the Rfam family "Bacterial small subunit ribosomal RNA", at positions 338 to 795 of the family's 1533-position model. The record is from RNAcentral.